UACGUAGGGCGCAAGCGUUAUCCGGAAUUAUUGGGCGUAAAGAGCUCGUAGGCGGUUUGUCGCGUCUGCCGUGAAAGUCCGGGGCUCAACUCCGGAUCUGCGGUGGGUACGGGCAGACUAGAGUGAUGUAGGGGAGGACUGGAAUUCCUGGUGUAGCGGUGAAAUGCGCAGAUAUCAGGAGGAACACCGAUGGCGAAGGCAGGUCUCUGGGCAUUAACUGACGCUGAGGAGCGAAAGCAUGGGGAGCGAACAGG
This 254-nucleotide ribosomal RNA is filed under the name uncultured bacterium. RNAcentral describes it as "partial 16S ribosomal RNA". It matches the Rfam family "Bacterial small subunit ribosomal RNA", at positions 524 to 776 of the family's 1533-position model. The record is from RNAcentral.